Molecule: ribosomal RNA, 490 nt
Filed under: uncultured bacterium
Lineage: Bacteria
Description: partial 16S ribosomal RNA
Rfam family: Bacterial small subunit ribosomal RNA
Source: RNAcentral
AUUGAACGCUGGCGGCAGGCCUAACACAUGCAAGUCGAACGGUAACAGGAAGAAGCUUGCUUCUUUGCUGACGAGUGGCGGACGGGUGAGUAAUGUCCGGGAAACUGCCUGAUGGAGGGGGAUAACUACUGGAAACGGUAGCUAAUACAGCAUAACGUAGCAAGACCAAAGAGGGGGACAUUCGGGCCUCUUGCCAUCGGAUGUGCCCAGAUGGGAUUAGCUAGUAGGUGGGGUAACGGCUCACCUAGGCGACGAUCCCUAGCUGGUCUGAGAGGAUGACCAGCCACACUGGAACUGAGACACGGUCCAGACUCCUACGGGAGGCAGCAGUGGGGAAUAUUGCACAAUGGGCGCAAGCCUGAUGCAGCCAUGCCGCGUGUAUGAAGAAGGCCUUCGGGUUGUAAAGUACUUUCGGCGGGGAGGAAGGGAGUAAAGUUAAUACCUUGGCUCAUUGACGUUACCCGCAGAAGAAGCACCGGCUAACUCCGUG